Molecule: long non-coding RNA, 186 nt
Organism: Pezoporus occidentalis (night parrot)
Lineage: Eukaryota; Metazoa; Chordata; Aves; Psittaciformes; Psittacidae
Exons: 2
Source: RefSeq, a predicted model, not a curated record
CAGCCAUUCCGGUCUGACUUUCCAACAACUUCCCCUUCGCGCCGGCUUCACUUCCUCACUGCGAGGCACCGGUGCGGGUUCAGGCAGGAUACUGAGGAGCAAAGAGCUGUGCUCAGAGCCUGUUCUGCAGUGCAGGGGUGUGCAGCUGGAGAUACCAGGAUGAAAACAGGACCAGGGUCUCCACAG